UAAGUUGCUGACAAUUAAAACACCUCCCGCUAUAAUGAAGACAGCGGGAGGUGUUUUAAUUGUCAGAUCAGUUUGAA
RNAcentral lists this small RNA (77 nucleotides) under Lacticaseibacillus paracasei. RNAcentral's name for it is "Lactobacillus paracasei mraW". The record is from RNAcentral. Lineage: Bacteria; Bacillati; Bacillota; Bacilli; Lactobacillales; Lactobacillaceae.